Molecule: non-coding RNA, 187 nt
Organism: Manis javanica (Malayan pangolin)
Lineage: Eukaryota; Metazoa; Chordata; Mammalia; Pholidota; Manidae
Source: RefSeq, a predicted model, not a curated record
GUUCUGGAGGCUACAGGUCCAAGAGAAGGAUGCCACGGCAAUGCAGUUCUUGUGAAGCUAGGUUAUGGCCUUUUGGAGGAAGACAACAGAGGACUCAGACUGAAAGACAGGCUCUUCUUUGGUCUCAAAACUACCAGCUUUUGGACUGGACCUUAAACUAUCAGCAAUCCUGGUUUUCAGCCCUUUG